RNAcentral lists this ribosomal RNA (270 nucleotides) under Escherichia coli. RNAcentral's name for it is "partial 23S ribosomal RNA". It matches the Rfam family "Bacterial large subunit ribosomal RNA", at positions 1684 to 1974 of the family's 2925-position model. Lineage: Bacteria; Pseudomonadati; Pseudomonadota; Gammaproteobacteria; Enterobacterales; Enterobacteriaceae. The record is from RNAcentral.
AGGCCAACGGGAGAAGGGUUGUUAAGGAACUCGGCAAAAUGACCCCGUAACUUCGGGAGAAGGGGUGCUCCAGAGAUGGAGCCGCAGAGAAUCGGCCCAAGCAACUGUUUACCAAAAACACAGGUUUGUGCUAAAUCGAAAGAUGACGUAUACGAGCUGACGCCUGCCCGGUGCUGGAAGGUUAAGAGGAGAUGUGCAAGCAUUGAAUCGAAGCCCCAGUGAACGGCGGCCGUAACUAUAACGGUCCUAAGGUAGCGAAAUUCCUUGUCA